This 253-nucleotide ribosomal RNA is filed under the name uncultured bacterium. Its description in RNAcentral is "partial 16S ribosomal RNA". It matches the Rfam family "Bacterial small subunit ribosomal RNA", at positions 524 to 776 of the family's 1533-position model. The record is from RNAcentral.
UACGUAGGGUCCGAGCGUUGUACGGAAUUACUGGGCGUAAAGGGCUCGUAGGCGGCCAACUAAGUCAGACGUGAAAUCCCUCGGCUUAACCGGGGAACUGCGUCUGAUACUGGAUGGCUUGAGUUCGGGAGAGGGAUGCGGAAUUCCAGGUGUAGCGGUGAAAUGCGUAGAUAUCUGGAGGAACACCGGUGGCGAAGGCGGCAUCCUGGACCGAGACUGACGCUGAGGAGCGAAAGCCAGGGGAGCAAACGGG